UACGGAGGGUGCAAGCAUUAAUCGGAUUUAUUGGGCGUAAAGGGCGCGUAGGCGGGCCAGCAAGUCAGAUGUGAAAUUUCGGGGCUCAACCCCGAAGCUGCAUUUGAAACUACAGGUCUAGAGGGUAGGCGGAGAAAACGGAAUUCCACAAGUAGCGGUGAAAUGCGUAGAUAUGUGGAAGAACACCGGUGGCGAAGGCGGUUUUCUAGCUUACACCUGACGCUAAAGCGCGAAAGCAAGGGGAUCAAACAGG
RNAcentral lists this ribosomal RNA (253 nucleotides) under uncultured bacterium. RNAcentral's name for it is "partial 16S ribosomal RNA". It matches the Rfam family "Bacterial small subunit ribosomal RNA", at positions 524 to 776 of the family's 1533-position model. The record is from RNAcentral.